RNAcentral lists this ribosomal RNA (325 nucleotides) under uncultured bacterium. RNAcentral's name for it is "bacterial SSU rRNA". It matches the Rfam family "Bacterial small subunit ribosomal RNA", at positions 30 to 355 of the family's 1533-position model. The record is from RNAcentral.
AUUGAACGCUGGCGGCGUGCUUAACACAUGCAAGUCGAUCGGUAACAGGUGUAGCAAUACAUGCUGACGAGAGGCGGACGGGUGAGUAAUGCUUGGGAAUCUGCCUAUUAGUGGGGGACAACCCGGGGAAACUCGGGCUAAUACCGCAUACGCUCUACGGAGGAAAGCCGGGGACCGCAAGGCCUGGCGCUAAUAGAUGAGCCCAAGUCGGAUUAGCUAGUUGGAGGUAACGGCCUACCAAGGCGACAAUCCGUAGCUGGUCUGAGAGGACGACCAGCCACACCGGAACUGAGACACGGUCCGGACUCCUACGGGAGGCAGCAGU